RNAcentral lists this ribosomal RNA (171 nucleotides) under Scomberoides lysan (doublespotted queenfish). RNAcentral's name for it is "partial 12S rRNA". Lineage: Eukaryota; Metazoa; Chordata; Actinopteri; Carangiformes; Carangidae. The record is from RNAcentral.
CACCGCGGUUAGACGAGCAGGCCCAAGUUGAUAGUUCACGGCGCAAAGGGUGGUUAGGGAAAACAAAGACUAAAGUCGAACUAACUCAUUACUGUGAUAAGCCCAUAUGAUAAAAUGAAGCCCGCCCACGAAAGUGACUUUAUUAACCCUGAACCCACGAAAGCUAAGAAA